GACGAACGCUGGCGGCGUGCUUAACACAUGCAAGUCGAACGGACCUUUUUUGGAAGAAGCCUUCGGGUGGAAAUUAGGAAAGGUUAGUGGCGGACGGGUGAGUAACGCGUAGAUAAUCUACCUUAAAGACUGGGACAACAGUUGGGAACGACUGCUAAUACCGGAUACGCUGCACAUAGGGCAUCCUAGGUGCAGGAAAAGAGGCCUCUUAACAAUGCUCCUGCUUUUAGAUGAGUCUGCGUCUGAUUAGCUAGAUGGUGGGGUAACGGCUUACCAUGGCGACGAUCAGUAGUCGGCCUGAGAGGGUGACCGGCCACAUUGGGACUGAGACACGGCCCAAACUCCUACGGGAGGCAGCAAUGGGGAAUCUUCCGCAAUGGGCGAAAGCCUGACGGAGCAACGCCGCGUGAUCGAAUGAAGGCCUUCGGGUUGUAAAGAUCUGUUGACAGGGACGAAUAAGCAAUGCGAAUAGUUUUGUGUA
This 481-nucleotide ribosomal RNA is filed under the name uncultured bacterium. Its description in RNAcentral is "bacterial SSU rRNA". It matches the Rfam family "Bacterial small subunit ribosomal RNA", at positions 28 to 470 of the family's 1533-position model. The record is from RNAcentral.